Molecule: ribosomal RNA, 355 nt
Filed under: uncultured Actinomycetes bacterium
Lineage: Bacteria; Bacillati; Actinomycetota; Actinomycetes
Description: bacterial LSU rRNA
Rfam family: Bacterial large subunit ribosomal RNA
Source: RNAcentral
CCGAGAGGCGUAGUCGAUGGACAACGGGUUGAUAUUCCCGUACCGGCGAAGAACCGCCCAAGUCAAUCCAGUGAUGCUAAGUGUCCGAAGCCUUCCAUCGUCACCUUCGGGUGGCACCGGGAGGUGGAGCACACGACCCUAUGCUGGUGCGGCUAGCGUAUUAACAGGUGUGACGCAGGAAGGUAGCCCAAGCCAGGCGAUGGUUGUCCUGGUGCAAGUGCGUAGGCCGAACGGUAGGCAAAUCCGCCGUUCAUCAAGGCUGAGACACGAUGCGGAUGAAAAGUGGGUGAUCCUAUGCUGCCGAGAAAAGCAUCGACGCGAGGUUCAAGCCGCCCGUACCCCAAACCGACUCAGG